GGCCAUGUUGCUCAGUGGUAAGAGCACUGGUCUCGUAAACCAGGGGUCGUGAGUUCAGCUCUCACCAAGGCCU
Molecule: non-coding RNA, 73 nt
Organism: Nerophis lumbriciformis (worm pipefish)
Lineage: Eukaryota; Metazoa; Chordata; Actinopteri; Syngnathiformes; Syngnathidae
Source: the annotation of a RefSeq genome assembly